This is a small nucleolar RNA of Vigna unguiculata (cowpea), 103 nucleotides long. RefSeq annotates it as small nucleolar RNA Z279/snoR105/snoR108. Lineage: Eukaryota; Viridiplantae; Streptophyta; Magnoliopsida; Fabales; Fabaceae. The record is from RefSeq and is a predicted model, not a curated record.
GGGAUGUGAUGAGUGGCAAAUGCUUGCAUUUAAUAUGCAAGAGGGGUGUCUGCCCCAGCCUGGUUACGACAGUGGGCACUCUCUUUUUGACCUAUCUGAUCCC